This 301-nucleotide ribosomal RNA is filed under the name uncultured bacterium. Its description in RNAcentral is "partial 16S ribosomal RNA". It matches the Rfam family "Bacterial small subunit ribosomal RNA", at positions 509 to 809 of the family's 1533-position model. The record is from RNAcentral.
CAGCCGCCACGGUAAUACGAAGGGGGCUAGCGUUGUUCGGAAUCACUGGGCGUAAAGCGCACGUAGGCGGACUUUUAAGUCAGAGGUGAAAUCCCAAGGCUCAACCUUGGAACUGCCUUUGAUACUGGGAGUCUUGAGUUCGGGAGGGGUGAGUGGAACUGCGAGUGUAGAGGUGAAAUUCGUAGAUAUUCGCAAGAACACCAGUGGCGAAGGCGGCUCACUGGCCCGAUACUGACGCUGAGGUGCGAAAGCGUGGGGAGCAAACAGGAUUAGAUACCCGAGUAGUCCCUGUCUCUUAUAA